GGUUGGAUAACAUAAUGGCAAUGUGCUGGAUUGCAAAUCCGAAAAUGAUGGUUCGAAUCCGUCUCUAACCU
Molecule: transfer RNA, 71 nt
Filed under: Scherffelia dubia
Lineage: Eukaryota; Viridiplantae; Chlorophyta; Chlorodendrophyceae; Chlorodendrales; Chlorodendraceae
Description: tRNA-Cys
Rfam family: tRNA
About the family: Transfer RNA (tRNA) molecules are approximately 80 nucleotides in length.
Source: RNAcentral